This is a long non-coding RNA of Dendronephthya gigantea, 289 nucleotides long. RefSeq lists it as uncharacterized. The record is from RefSeq and is a predicted model, not a curated record. The transcript has 4 exons. Lineage: Eukaryota; Metazoa; Cnidaria; Anthozoa; Malacalcyonacea; Nephtheidae.
GGCAGAGACAAAGAACUUGACCAGACAAAAAAAGAAAUCAAAAGAUUGGAAAAAGAAAACUCUGAAUUAUUAACACGAAUUGAAAACUUAGAUAAAUAUGUUGGUGACUUACCAACCUCGGAAGAUUACAAAAAACUUCGUAAAGAACAGAAACAUUGGAAACAUCUUUGCUCAAAGUUGCAAACACAAAUGGCAGAACAAGAAGAAAGGUUGACUUCAGGAAAGAAAGAUCUUGAAGAAAAGGCUUUGAAUGCAGACAGAUUUGAAAUGGAAAAAUAUAGAUUAGACG